CUGCAGUCAUCACGAAUUAAUAUUGUUUACAUCUUUAUUGAGGGGUUCAGAAGUUGCUGCGCGGUGCAUGAUGAAAAUGAAGACUGGCCAAUUUUGUUUCGUUUAUAAUACGUGGAAAUUAAAGGAACAUCCUUCGAAAAUCAGGUGUUAUAAGGGAUUUAUUGACCUAGGUUGCUUAUCGAGCAGUUGCAACAUUUGGCCGACUGAAAUUGUCAUAUAGUGGUUGGGAGUUACAUAUAUAUAUCAGCACCAUAUUCGAAUCUUAACGAAAGAAAUCAGAAAUUGCACUUAUUAUUGAAAUGUUAGGUAAAUCAUCAGAAAACGGUUUUCUAAAAAUAAACUUCAACUUUCAAGUUCUGGAUGGAAGUCGCGACGUAAGCCGAUAAAAGCUGUGUGGUAUGGUAUUAUGUAUACCGAAAGUCAUAUGUCUGGAAAUAGACAGAAAAUAGAGCGAAAAAUUAGGUUGAUGAUGCUAUACGCCUCCAUAGAGUAAAGACAUUAUACAUAUAUACAUAUAUGUUUGCACAUUAGUAUCCUUGCUCUGUAAGUGCGUGCAGACAUACAUAUAAGGGCAGUUGUUUGGCUUGGAGAUCUUGACCUGCAUGAUUUUGGAUUCA
Long non-coding RNA from Hermetia illucens (black soldier fly), 617 nucleotides. RefSeq lists it as uncharacterized. The transcript has 4 exons. Lineage: Eukaryota; Metazoa; Arthropoda; Insecta; Diptera; Stratiomyidae. The record is from RefSeq and is a predicted model, not a curated record.